This 1493-nucleotide ribosomal RNA is filed under the name uncultured bacterium. RNAcentral describes it as "16S ribosomal RNA". It matches the Rfam family "Bacterial small subunit ribosomal RNA". The record is from RNAcentral.
UUGAUUAUGGCUCAGAUUGAACGCUGGCGGCAGGCCUAACACAUGCAAGUCGAGCGGAUGAAGGGAGCUUGCUCCUGGAUUCAGCGGCGGACGGGUGAGUAAUGCCUAGGAAUCUGCCUGGUAGUGGGGGAUAACGUCCGGAAACGGGCGCUAAUACCGCAUACGUCCUGAGGGAGAAAGUGGGGGAUCUUCGGACCUCACGCUAUCAGAUGAGCCUAGGUCGGAUUAGCUAGUUGGUGGGGUAAAGGCCUACCAAGGCGACGAUCCGUAACUGGUCUGAGAGGAUGAUCAGUCACACUGGAACUGAGACACGGUCCAGACUCCUACGGGAGGCAGCAGUGGGGAAUAUUGGACAAUGGGCGAAAGCCAGAUCCAGCCAUGCCGCGUGUGUGAAGAAGGUCUUCGGAUUGUAAAGCACUUUAAGUUGGGAGGAAGGGCAGUAAGUUAAUACCUUGCUGUUUUGACGUUACCAACAGAAUAGGCACCGGCUAACUUCGUGCCAGCAGCCGCGGUAAUACGAAGGGUGCAAGCGUUAAUCGGAAUUACUGGGCGUAAAGCGCGCGUAGGUGGUUCAGCAAGUUGGAUGUGAAAUCCCCGGGCUCAACCUGGGAACUGCAUCCAAAACUACUGAGCUAGAGUACGGUAGAGGGUGGUGGAAUUUCCUGUGUAGCGGUGAAAUGCGUAGAUAUAGGAGGGAACACCAGUGGCGAAGGCGACCACCUGGACUGAUACUGACACUGAGGUGCGAAAGCGUGGGGAGCAAACAGGAGUAGAUACCCUGGCAGUCCACGCCGUAAACGAUGUCGACUAGCCGUUGGGAUCCUUGAGAUCUUAGUGGCGCAGCUAACGCGAUAAGUUCGACCGCCUGGGGAGUACGGCCGCAAGGUUAAAACUCAAAUGAAUUGACGGGGGCCCGCACAAGCGGUGGAGCAUGUGGUUAAUUCGAAGCAACGCGAAGAACCUUACCUGGCCUUGACAUGCAGAGAACUUUCCAGAGAUGGAUUGGUGCCUUCGGGAACUCUGACACAGGUGCUGCAUGGCUGUCGUCAGCUCGUGUCGUGAGAUGUUGGGUUAAGUCCCGUAACGAGCGCAACCCUUGUCCUUAGUUACCAGCACCUCGGGUGGGCACUCUAAGGAGACUGCCGGUGACAAACCGGAGGAAGGUGGGGAUGACGUCAAGUCAUCAUGGCCCUUACGGCCAGGGCUACACACGUGCUACAAUGGUCGGUACAAAGGGUUGCCAAGCCGCGAGGUGGAGCUAAUCCCAUAAAACCGAUCGUAGUCCGGAUCGCAGUCUGCAACUCGACUGCGUGAAGUCGGAAUCGCUAGUAAUCGUGAAUCAGAAUGUCACGGUGAAUACGUUCCCGGGCCUUGUACACACCGCCCGUCACACCAUGGGAGUGGGUUGCUCCAGAAGUAGCUAGUCUAACCGCAAGGGGGACGGUUACCACGGAGUGAUUCAUGACUGGGGUGAAGUCGUAACAAGGUAGCCG